GAUGAACGCUGGCGGCGUGCCUAAUACAUGCAAGUCGAGCGAACGGACGAGAAGCUUGCUUCUCUGAUGUUAGCGGCGGACGGGUGAGUAACACGUGGAUAACCUACCUAUAAGACGGGGAUAACUUCGGGAAACCGGAGCUAAUACCGGAUGAUAUUUUGAACCGCAUGGUUCAAAAGUGAAAUACGGUCUUGCGGUCACUUAUAGAUGGAUCCGCGCUGCAUUAGCUAGUUGGUAAGGUAACGGCUUACCAAGGCAACGAAGCAUAGCCGACCUGAGAGAGUGAUCGGCGACCCUGGAAGGGAGACAGGGUCCCGACACCUACGGGAGGCAGCAGUAGGGAAUCUUACGCAAUGGGCGAGAGCCUGACAUAGCAACGGCGCGUGAGUGCUGAACGUGCUCGGAUCGUAAAGCUCUGUUAUUAGGGAAGAACAUAUGUGUAAGUAACUGUGCACAUCUUGACGGUACCUGAUCAAAAAGCCACGGCUAACUACGUG
RNAcentral lists this ribosomal RNA (497 nucleotides) under uncultured bacterium. RNAcentral describes it as "partial 16S ribosomal RNA". It matches the Rfam family "Bacterial small subunit ribosomal RNA", at positions 28 to 507 of the family's 1533-position model. The record is from RNAcentral.